RNAcentral lists this ribosomal RNA (433 nucleotides) under uncultured bacterium. RNAcentral's name for it is "partial 16S ribosomal RNA". It matches the Rfam family "Bacterial small subunit ribosomal RNA", at positions 29 to 507 of the family's 1533-position model. The record is from RNAcentral.
AACGAACGCUGGCGGCAUGCCUAACACAUGCAAGUCGAACGAGACCUUCGGGUCUAGUGGCGCACGGGUGCGUAACGCGUGGGAACCUGCCCUUAGGUUCGGAAUAACUCCCCGAAAGGGGUGCUAAUACCGGAUAAUGUCUUCGGACCAAAGAUUUAUCGCCUUUGGAUGGGCCCGCGUUGGAUUAGCUAGUUGGUAGGGUAAAAGCCUACCAAGGCGACGAUCCAUAGCUGGUGUGAGAGGAUGAUCAGCCACACUGGGACUGAGACCCGGCCCAGACCCCUACGGGAGGCAGCAGUGGGGAAUAUUGGACGAUGGGCGAAAGCCUGAUCCAGCAAUGCCGCGUGAGUGAGGAAGGCCUUAGGGUUGUAAAGCUCUUUUACCCGGGAUGAUAAUGACAGUACCGGGAGAAUAAGCUCCGGCUAACUCCGUG